This is a non-coding RNA of Podarcis lilfordi (Lilford's wall lizard), 66 nucleotides long. Lineage: Eukaryota; Metazoa; Chordata; Lepidosauria; Squamata; Lacertidae. The record is from the annotation of a GenBank genome assembly.
GCAACUUAGUGGGGGAGCAUCUGCUUUGAAUGCAGAAGGUUUCAGGUUCAAUUCCCGGCGUCUCCA